GACGAACGCUGGCGGCGUGCUUAACACAUGCAAGUCGAACGGAAAGGCCCUGCUUUUGUGGGGUGCUCGAGUGGCGAACGGGUGAGUAACACGUGAGUAACCUGCCCUUGACUUUGGGAUAACUUCAGGAAACUGGGGCUAAUACCGGAUAGGAGCUCCUGCUGCAUGGUGGGGGUUGGAAAGUUUCGGCGGUUGGGGAUGGACUCGCGGCUUAUCAGCUUGUUGGUGGGGUAGUGGCUUACCAAGGCUUUGACGGGUAGCCGGCCUGAGAGGGUGACCGGCCAAAUGGGGACUGAGAUACGGCCCAGACUCCUACGGGAGGCAGCAGUGGGGAAUAUUGCACAAUGGGCGGAAGCCUGAUGCAGCAACGCCGCGUGCGGGAUGACGGCCUUCGGGUUGUAAACCGCUUUCGCCUGUGACGAGCGUGAGUGACGGUAAUGGGUAAAGAAGCACCGGCUAACUACGUG
RNAcentral lists this ribosomal RNA (467 nucleotides) under uncultured bacterium. RNAcentral describes it as "partial 16S ribosomal RNA". It matches the Rfam family "Bacterial small subunit ribosomal RNA", at positions 28 to 507 of the family's 1533-position model. The record is from RNAcentral.